AACACACGCUACAGAACACACGCUACAGAACACACGCUACAGAACACACGCUACAGAACACACGCUACAGACAGAACACACGCUACAGAACACACGCUACAGAACACACGCUACAGAACACACGCUACAGAACACACGCUACAGAACACACGCUACAGAACACACGCUACAGAACACACGCUACAGAACACACGCUACAGAACACACGCUACAGAACACACGCUACAGAACACACGCUACAGAACACACCUUACAGAACACACGCUACAGAACACACGCUACAGAACACACGCUACAGAACACACGCUACAGAACACACCUUACAGAACACACCUACAGAACACACGCUACAGAACACACGCUACAGAACACACGCUACAGAACACACGCUACAGAACACACACUACAGAACACACGCUACAGAACACACGCGAGAUGUUUACAGUGUAGUUUGGGGGUUGUAACCGCCACCACAGGACACACUGUUAGCAGUCUGCUUGUGUUUUUGUAUUUUUAGAUAUUUUAUAGGAAUGCUUUCCCCUUGUCUAAGGGUAAUGGAUGGGGUGGGGGGCGAUGAGUUUAAAGGUUGACUCAGUGAUAUGACAUGGUAACACACCGGGGCGACUUCCCGGCUUGUAGACAUCAACAACGAUCUGCCAAGACUACCACUAUUGGUUCUUCUCUUGAGGCGUGACGCCCACAUUGGGAAGAGCGGUCAGUGGUGGUCUCGGGAUAUAAUAUAUGACUUGUGUUGUUACUGAUGUCUGGAAGCAGGAAGUAGCUCCCGCUGUGUUACCAUGUCAUAUGGCUGAGUCUACCUCGAACCCCUCUGCUCUCCUCAGGGUACAGUGAAACCGUGGGUUGUACAAAAGACGGCAGCAGCGUGGUCUGCUUUUUUUGUUUGUACCUUUAAUAAUAGUCCUGUAAAAGUGAUGUAUCAUAAUGUCCCCCGGUAAAGGCCGGGCGUCGCCUGUCUCGCCGUCCGUAACCAGGACUACUGCGGUGGGCAGCGGCAUGUGUACAUUUUGAAGUGGCGAGCCUUGUGUAUCUGAAUAGGAGCAUCUUCUGUAACCAUAAUGUGUAUAGUUCUAACAGAAACCUGUGUGUGUGCUUGUUGCCUGGGCAACUAUUUUUUUUGUAUCUCCUGUUGUAGAUUGUCUCUCUAAACAAUGAUGUGUGAUUAUUUUUUAUUUUGAAACAAAACUGAACACAAAAAAAAAACCUGUAGUUUUGGAGUGUGUUUUGUUGUUGUUGUUUGUCUGUGAUUUGUGUU
This is a long non-coding RNA of Oncorhynchus tshawytscha (Chinook salmon), 1273 nucleotides long. Lineage: Eukaryota; Metazoa; Chordata; Actinopteri; Salmoniformes; Salmonidae. The record is from Ensembl.